GGGAAACCGAGUCUUAAUUGGGCGUUAAGUUGCAGGGUAUAGACCCGAAACCCGGUGAUCUAGCCAUGGGCAGGUUGAAGGUUGGGUAACACUAACUGGAGGACCGAACCGACUAAUGUUGAAAAAUUAGCGGAUGACCUGUGGCUGGGGGUGAAAGGCCAAUCAAACCGGGAGAUAGCUGGUUCUCCCCGAAAGCUAUUUAGGUAGCGCCUCGUGAAUUCAUCUCCGGGGGUAGAGCACUGUUUCGGCUAGGGGGCCAUCCCGGCUUACCAACCCGAUGCAAACUGCGAAUACCGGAGAAUGUUAUCACGGGAGACACACGGCGGGUGCUAACGUCCGUCGUGAAGAGGGAAACAACCCAGACCGCCAGCUAAGGUCCCAAAGUCAUGGUUAAGUGGGAAACGAUGUGGGAAGGCCCAGACAGCCAGGAUGUUGGCUUAGAAGCAGCCAUCAUUUAAAGAAAGCGUAAUAGCUCACUGGUCGAGUCGGCCUGCGCGGAAGAUGUAACGGGGCUAAACCAUGCACCGAAGCUGCGGCAGCGACACUGUGUGUUGUUGGGUAGGGGAGCGUUCUGUAAGCCUGUGAAGGUGUGUCGUGAGGCAUGCUGGAGGUAUCAGAAGUGCGAAUGCUGACAUAAGUAACGAUAAAGCGGGUGAAAAGCCCGCUCGCCGGAAGACCAAGGGUUCCUGUCCAACGUUAAUCGGGGCAGGGUGAGUCGACCCCUAAGGCGAGGCCGAAAGGCGUAGUCGAUGGGAAACGGGUUAAUAUUCCCGUACUUGGUGUUACUGCGAAGGGGGGACGGAGAAGGCUAUGUUGGCCGGGCGACGGUUGUCCCGGUUUAAGCGUGUAGGUGUGUGUUCCAGGUAAAUCCGGUUCACUUUAACACUGAGGCGUGACGACGAGGCACUACGGUGCUGAAGCAACAAAUGCCCUGCUUCCAGGAAAAGCCUCUAAGCAUCAGGUAACAUCAAAUCGUACCCCAAACCGACACAGGUGGUCAGGUAGAGAAUACCAAGGCGCUUGAGAGAACUCGGGUGAAGGAACUAGGCAAAAUGGUGCCGUAACUUCGGGAGAAGGCACGCUGACACGUAGGUGAAGUGAUUUACUCAUGGAGCUGAAGUCAGUCGAAGAUACCAGCUGGCUGCAACUGUUUAUUAAAAACACAGCACUGUGCAAACACGAAAGUGGACGUAUACGGUGUGACGCCUGCCCGGUGCCGGAAGGUUAAUUGAUGGGGUCAGCGCAAGCGAAGCUCCUGAUCGAAGCCCCGGUAAACGGCGGCCGUAACUAUAACGGUCCUAAGGUAGCGAAAUUCCUUGUCGGGUAAGUUCCGACCUGCACGAAUGGCGUAAUGAUGGCCAGGCUGUCUCCACCCGAGACUCAGUGAAAUUGAACUCGCUGUGAAGAUGCAGUGUACCCGCGGCAAGACGGAAAGACCCCGUGAACCUUUACUAUAGCUUGACACUGAACAUUGAGCCUUGAUGUGUAGGAUAGGUGGGAGGCUUUGAAGUGUGGACGCCAGUCUGCAUGGAGCCGACCUUGAAAUACCACCCUUUAAUGUUUGAUGUUCUAACGUGGACCCGUUACCCGGGUUGCGGACAGUGUCUGGUGGGUAGUUUGACUGGGGCGGUCUCCUCCUAAAGAGUAACGGAGGAGCACGAAGGUUGGCUAAUCCUGGUCGGACAUCAGGAGGUUAGUGCAAUGGCAUAAGCCAGCUUGACUGCGAGCGUGACGGCGCGAGCAGGUGCGAAAGCAGGUCAUAGUGAUCCGGUGGUUCUGAAUGGAAGGGCCAUCGCUCAACGGAUAAAAGGUACUCCGGGGAUAACAGGCUGAUACCGCCCAAGAGUUCAUAUCGACGGCGGUGUUUGGCACCUCGAUGUCGGCUCAUCACAUCCUGGGGCUGAAGUAGGUCCCAAGGGUAUGGCUGUUCGCCAUUUAAAGUGGUACGCGAGCUGGGUUUAGAACGUCGUGAGACAGUUCGGUCCCUAUCUGCCGUGGGCGCUGGAGAACUGAGGGGGGCUGCUCCUAGUACGAGAGGACCGGAGUGGACGCAUCACUGGUGUUCGGGUUGUCAUGCCAAUGGCACUGCCCGGUAGCUAAAUGCGGAAGAGAUAAGUGCUGAAAGCAUCUAAGCACGAAACUUGCCCCGAG
RNAcentral lists this ribosomal RNA (2151 nucleotides) under Salmonella enterica subsp. enterica serovar Enteritidis. RNAcentral's name for it is "partial 23S ribosomal RNA". It matches the Rfam family "Bacterial large subunit ribosomal RNA", at positions 671 to 2803 of the family's 2925-position model. The record is from RNAcentral. Lineage: Bacteria; Pseudomonadati; Pseudomonadota; Gammaproteobacteria; Enterobacterales; Enterobacteriaceae.